Molecule: unclassified non-coding RNA, 864 nt
Filed under: Hevea brasiliensis (rubber tree)
Lineage: Eukaryota; Viridiplantae; Streptophyta; Magnoliopsida; Malpighiales; Euphorbiaceae
Source: RNAcentral
GAGAUUUUGGGCAAAAAUAAGGAUGCUCUUGUUCAAAAAGUGCGUGUUACUGAACCAAGGCUUUAUCCGACAAGAAUUGCUAGGGAUGGCUCUGUUAUGGAAUGGGUAAAAGAUUUUGAAGACCCAGAAGUGCACCAUCGACAUCUUUCACAUCUAUUUGGCCUGUUUUGGCCUGUUUCCAGGGCAUACAAUAACCAUUGAGAAAAAUCCAGACCUAUGUAAAGCUGCAGAGAACACCCUCUAUAAACGAGGAGAGGAUGGUCCAGGUUGGUCAACUGCAUGGAAAACUGCUUUAUGGGCACAUCUGCACAACAGUGAACAUGCUUAUAGGAUGGUUAAGCAUUUGAUUAAGUUGGUGGAUCCAGAUCAUGAGGUAGCUUUUGAAGGUGGAUUAUACAGCAACUUAUUUGCAGCACACCCGCCUUUUCAGAUUGAUGCCAACUUUGGUGUUACAGCAGCAGUUGCAGAAAUGCUGAUGCAGAGUACCAUGAAGGAUUUGUACUUGCUUCCUGCACUUCCUUGGGAUAAAUGGGCAAAUGGAUGUGUGAAAGGACUAAAGGCACGCGGUGGGUUGACAGUGAGCAUAUGCUGGAAAGAAGGAGAUCUCCAUGAAGUUGGUGUUUGGACCAAGGUUGAAAGUUGCAUCCAAAGAUUGCAUUACAGAGGAAGAACAGUGAAAACAAGCAUAUCACCUGGAAUAAUUUAUACAUUUAAUGCACAGUUAAAAUGUGUGAAGGCAAGCUCUCUCUCAUAACUGGCCUUUCAAUUUUGUUGAUCUCUCAAUUGUUAGUUUCUUGAGCAAGUAUCCAAUAAAUCUUCUUGUAUAACAAGAAUUCAUACUUUUGUACGGGUGUGUUUAAUUUA